AGUGAACGCUGGCGGUAGGCCUAACACAUGCAAGUCGAACGGCAGCACAGUAAGAGCUUGCUCUUACGGGUGGCGAGUGGCGGACGGGUGAGGAAUACAUCGGAAUCUACUUUUUCGUGGGGGAUAACGUAGGGAAACUUACGCUAAUACCGCAUACGACCUACGGGUGAAAGCAGGGGAUCUUCGGACCUUGCGCGAUUGAAUGAGCCGAUGUCGGAUUAGCUAGUUGGCGGGGUAAAGGCCCACCAAGGCGACGAUCCGUAGCUGGUCUGAGAGGAUGAUCAGCAACACUGGAACUGAGACACGGUCCAGACUCCUACGGGAGGCAGCAGUGGGGAAUAUUGGACAAUGGGAGCAAGCCUGAUCCAGCCAUACCGCGUGGGUGAAGAAGGCCUUCGGGUUGUAAAGCCCUUUUGUUGGGAAAGAAAAGCAGCAGGUUAAUACCCCGCUGUUCUGACGGUACCCAAAGAAUAAGCACCGGCUAACUUCGUG
This 492-nucleotide ribosomal RNA is filed under the name uncultured bacterium. RNAcentral describes it as "partial 16S ribosomal RNA". It matches the Rfam family "Bacterial small subunit ribosomal RNA", at positions 29 to 507 of the family's 1533-position model. The record is from RNAcentral.